RNAcentral lists this long non-coding RNA (14439 nucleotides) under Homo sapiens (human). Its description in RNAcentral is "HSALNT0116733". Lineage: Eukaryota; Metazoa; Chordata; Mammalia; Primates; Hominidae. The record is from RNAcentral.
GUGAGCUGAGACUUCCUGGGAAGCUCCCUGCACCGUGAGUGAGGGUUAGGGCAGUCCCCAUGCUCCGGCCUUCAGCCGAGCAGCCUCAGGUUGUUCUUUUCCACGUUUAUUUCCCUCUGGCAGCUGCUGGAGCCCCCUGCAGAGCCCAGAUCAUUGCCCACAGAGAGCUUCUCAUUAAGAGCUUUCAGUUUAUAAUUUCUUGGUUCCUAGAAUUUUGUAGAGACUUAGAUUGACAGGAUUCUGGCAUGAAGUUGUUUCUCAGCCAUUCCCCGGCGUGGACUCAGCAGAGGUGACAUUAGGGUAAGUCCUGUAUUGCUUCUGAGGGGCAGUUGCUAAGGAAGAAAACACGCAAGCCGGCGGGGGCUCCCCCACCUCCCGACAACAACGCGCCUGUGUCUGCUGCUCCAGCACCACUCACACCACAGUGGUUUCUGUGUGCCCUGGGGGUGCUGGGCACCGAGCCUGGAGAAGUUAGCAAGGCUGGGUUCCAUUUGUGGCACGGAGACCUCUGCUACGGUCAUCCUGAACACCCUCCAGGGCACUGACCUAUGCUCUUGAUCUGCACUAACGAAGCCAGACAGCAGGAAGGAGGUGGAACAGAUGACGGCCACGAUAUUUACCUUACUGCAGAAAAGAGCAGAAUGCUUCUCCUGCACCACCCUGCCUGCCCUGCAUUACCCCCACCCAUAGCCUGGUGCAUGUCUGUCUGAGGUCUCAGAGGGAUGAGUUCCCCCAAAAGGAAGAGGAAGAAAACAGGGGAGUUUGAAUUAGAAUAAGCCACUCCACACAGGACGGCCUGCUCUGCCUCCUUCGCCUGGUGUCUCACAGGCCUGCACCUGCCCUGACUAAGAACCUGGGGUCACCCUCCCUACCCCACGCCAUGAGGAGCUGCCCCACCCGAGCCCCUGAGCCCCGGGGAGCAUGCGAAGCCCUGGAGGAGGGGCGUCCAGAUGUCCACUUCAUCUUGCAUUGCAUUCAGGACGUUGACAAAGGAACGCACGCCGACACUCCCACAUGAACAGCUGGCUGCUUCCCAGCGUCCUACGGGAGAGCUACCGGCUUCUAGGCAACGCUGCGUGUGAUCUGUGGGGGAGCCUGGCCACUCCUGGAGGUUCCAAGGUCAAAGAAACGCAUUCCGGAUGCGACGGAUUUGAUCUUGGAAAGCUGCUUUGAAGAUACGAUAGCUAUUCCCUAUUGUUCACUUUAAGGCAAACAAUGUAUACAUUUUUCUGUGUCAGGCUCCUCUGUGAAGUUAGUGAAACGGUAGCUUAGUUUGCUCCCAUCUCCUGUUCCGCCCUGCUGGUUUUCGAUUGUGCGUCACUGAAUUGCCAUCAGAAAUCCAGUCCCGACUGCGUGUGCGAGGCCAGGGAGGGAGGUGAGAGGCGGCCUCUCGGACACACUCUGCCAUGGGCCGGAAGCAGGAGGCACCCUCUUUGUGAUGAUCUCUGAGAGCUAAGGAGAGACUCCAGCACCACCCUUUCUCCUGGUGCCCUGUCCAUAACUAAGUGUCCAGAAGUCUCCUCCACAGGCAUUUUCUCUGCUCAUUCUCCUAGUAAUCCUGUGAAGGAGACGUGUUCUCCAUUCUAUAGGAGAGGACUCUGAGGUUCAGAAAACUCAAGUCAGAGAAAGCAUGAGGUUGGACUUCGCUUCUUGGCCCGGGUCGGACUGUAGGCUGCUGCUGGAGCUGUGCGGCUUUGGGUAGGUGGCCUGGGCACUAUGUGUUCACCAAACGCACUUCCCUUCCAUCCUGGGUGCAAGGCGACCUCCGAUCCCAGCCUUUCCUGUUGGGCUCAGCAAUGGAAACAAGCAGUGGGGCCCUGCGCUCCAUGCAGGGUGGAUCUAGAACCUUCCGAGGACUUGAAACCCUCAGAGGGGGACAGGGUGGGGAGACACAGAGAAGGCCCAGGAAUGACCUUGUGGGAAGUCGCUUAUCCACCAGGAACUCUGGUGCUGAACUUUUUCUAAGCGAAAGUUAACUUCUGUUGGAUUAAGACCCUGAAGAUUGGGCUUUAACACCUGUUGUGUUACCUGCACUCAAACAAACCAGGGCUCCUUACUCAGCCCUCGGGAGCCUUGGCAUUCUCACCUCUAAAGCAGGAGGAGUCGUGAUACCUGCCUUGAGGAAUUUGAGCAAAGUUAAACGACCUGAACUAUUUGGGCGUUUCUUGACCAAUGUCCGACCUUGGGAGGUGCUGGAUGAAUUUUUAUUUCUCUACUUUAAGUCAGCCUUUCUACCUUGUUGCUCUUCUCAGCUGCCUUUCUCUGAGCCUCCUUCAUCACUCUGUUCAUUUCUGUGAGACAAAGAUCAUUACAACUGCCUUAAUAUUUCGGUGCAAGACGCACCGUGACCUGACAUUGCUCUACCCCGCCUCCUGCCACGAUCAUUCUUUUGUAGCAAUAUUCCGCCAGCUUCAUUUCAUGCAGUGAGUGGAACAAGAGUCAGAACACCAGGGCGGCUGAGCCUAUCGAUCAAGCCUCCACCUAAUGACAGACAUACUUGAGUCCCACAGUCAUAAGGAGGAUGAAGUCUCUCUCUGGCUGGACCUGGACUGCAGUCACACUCUAAGAGCUCCUCUUUCUACACCUCUGCCAGUGGGCGUUCGGUCAGAGACAAGCUAUGGCACCGGCUCCCGGACGCACGGGAGGACUCCUACCAGGGACAGAGUCCGCACAGGUGACCUGAGUGGCUGUGCACAGCCUUUGCUUCUGAGACGUGCCGGGAGCAGGUACCAGAGCAAUGAGGAAGCAGGACCCAGACCCCUGACUCCUAACUCCAGGUGAAGUCCACCCUGAGCUCAGGAGCAGAGCUGCCUCCAUCGGGUGUGGAGAGACAGAGCCUCCUCCCCAGCCAUGCCUCCUCAUCGGCCCACGGGAGCUGCUGUGACUCUGACCCCUGUACCUGGCUCUGUCGACCGGAAUAGUCAGUGGGCAGCCAGCACACCUUUGGGUGCUCUGUAUGAGUGGGAUUUUCUCCUGAUUAGACAUUUUAAAAGAUUGUCAACAAAAAGAACAAACUCUGUAAAAUAUUGGAGAGAUUUAUUUCGAGCCAAACGUGAGUGACCACAGCCCGUGACACAGUCCUCAGGAGACCCGGAGAACGUGUGACCCAGGUGAUCAGGGCACAGCUAGGUUUUAUACAUGCUAUAGGGCAUAAGGCAUCAAUCAAUACAUUUAAGCUGUACAUCAGUUCAGACGGGAAAGGUGGCACACCAGGAAGCAGAGGCUUCCAGAUCACAGGCAGAUUCACAGAUUUUCUGAUUGGCAGUUGGUUGAAAGAGUUUAUCUAAAGACCUGGAACCAAUAGAAAGGAAAUAUCUGGGUAGGAUAAGGGGUUGUGGAGACCAAGGUUCUUAUUACGCUGAUGCAGCCUCCAGGUAGAAGACUUACAGAGAAUCGAUGGUAAAUGUUUCUUAUCAGACUUAAAAGGUGCCAGAAACUUAGUGGAGUAUUUCCUGGAUGAGGAAAAAGGCCUGGAAAGGGAACAGGAUUUUCUACAGAAUAUAGACUUUCCCCACAUGAGACAGCUCUGCAGGGACAUUUCAAGAUAUGGCCAAGAAACAUAUUUAGGGUUAAAAUAUUUGGAUUUUCUUCCUUAUCUGUCAUGUGAGGUUACACCAGAGUAAGGUUGGAAAGAGCCGAGUUACACAGGGUUAAUAAGACCCCUCCAAUGAGGCUUUGUGGUUUGUAGGGUGACCUCCCCAGGCCCCUUAGGUAGGAAUUUGGGCAGGAGAGAAAAAAGGUCAGAGUUUAGUCCUCAAGGCACAGACUUAUGUUCUUGACCCUCCUUCCAUCUGGUGGUACAUUCAGGCUAACGGAAAAAUCCUACAUAUUCCACGUUGGAUCCGUCCUCCCUCCUCCUGACUAAAGGGUUCUAGGUGUGUGUGGUGAUACAGCUGGGAUGGUUAUUCCUUCCGGAAGCUUCAUCCUGUUUUUCCUCCUUCUGAUGUCCAAAUUCCUGCCUCACACACUGGGGUCUUUUGCUUUGUCAUUCACACAUUAACACAAGGCCUGGAUGCAGAAGGCUGAUUCCUGUUAGUGCCUGUGAUGGCAGCAGUGGGCCAUCUGGUGCGGCCUGGCCCCUGCCCGCACGCAGACUGCUGCGGGGCGUGUGCAGGGAGGAGGUGGACAGCCCCCUCCCUCCACCCGCUGCCCUGGGGGCCGCCGGGAUGGAGCUAGGCGGGGUCCAGUUCACCCACCGGCGGGGCAGCCGUGCAGUGGGGCAGUAGCUCCUCCGACAGAAAGGGGCCUGAUGAGGGCUGGGCCGCACUUCGGGGAUCCGGGGCAGGAAGGGAUAGUGACACCUACUCAGGGGACCUGGCCAGCUGGGCACCCACUGUGCCCACCCCACAGAGGGUGCCGGGUUCCUGGGUCGCGGGAGGAGGCUCUGCGUGGGGGCUGCCCAGACCGUAUCCUUGGAGUCCGCCUGGCGUCGGGGUGACCACCAAGCCUGCCAUUCCUGAGGGCGGGGCCUGAGGCCCACGAUCCACUCUGCCCUGGGCCACCCCUGAGUACGGGGGCAACAGGGGGAGCUCGUGGUAAUGUUGCCCCUGCCCUGGACGCUGGCCUGAGCCCAGCAAGGAUCAGGAGCCCCUGCCUCAGGCUGCAAGGGGUCACAGUUGGGGCUGUGUGCCCCACGGAGUGGGUGGGAGCCAGGAGCAGGCAGCAGCACCGCCAAUCUCUCCCGCGCGGCUGCAGCCGCCCGAGUUGGGGCGGUAGACACGAGCCUCUGUGUGCUCUUGGAGGGCUGAGGGUAGGCAGGAGCCGUGCGCUCCUGGGUGCUGUGGCACUCCAGGGUGCCGCCCAAACUGGGGAUGCUGACCUGACCUCCUAAUCCAGGCGGGUAGGAGCCCCACCCUCCUGGACAGGGCUGCAGCCGCCCAUGUUGCGGCUGCAGAUCUGAGCCUCCCUUUGCUCUUGGGUGGGUGGGGGCAGGCAGGAGCCCUGCAUGCUCCUAGGCACUGCUGCGCUCGCGGAAGCCGCCCGAACUGGGGCUGCAGACAGGGGCCUCCAGCUCCAUGGCGCAGGCAGGAGCCCCCACCCUGCACACCCGCAGUCGCCCAAAUCUGCCGCUGCAGCCUCUGGCAUCCCUGCACUCUUGGGGGCCGGGAAGGCCACGCCUACCCUUGGGGGCUUGGAAGUGCCUCCUCCCGCUGCCUGGGUUCUCCCUACUAUAAGCCCCUCUCUGAUCUUGGUACAAAGUCAGGGCAAGCCCCAACACCAUGAAUGGCAGGGAUGUGAGACCCAGGCAGUUUAGGUGACCUGCUCAAGGACGCACGCUGUGCACAGUGGCUGAGCCUGCUCCUGUCACGUCCCAGGAGACUUCAGAGUCCUCGUGAUCCCAGCUGUGCUGUGCUCCUCCUUCCGCUGUGGGUCCAAGGCAUGGUUUAUACCAGGACUCCUCCAUGUUUGGGAAACCUUCACGGGGCACCGCUGCUGUUAUUUCUCCUCCCUUUCUUAAGUUUAAGCAAAAAGUUCCAUCCAUGGGUAGCAUUCUUUACAACUUAGACUCGUCAAUGAUCAGCAAGAAUUUAGACUUUGUCAAUCUCAAGAAAAUGAUUAUAAAAUCCAGACAGUGUUCCAGGGCUAUCUGACAAGCAAGAACACCAGUAACUUAGUUCAUUAGAUGCCUUCCAGCGACAGGAUGCUACUUAGACAAGUUCCCCUGAAACUCAGGGCUGCAAGUCUCUAGAUUGAUUAUCUGCAAAUGCAGCCAUCUGCUUCCUGCUGUGACACUUCAUUCCUCCGCCCUGGCUGCACUGCAGACAGACGCUGGGGAGACCUCGCCUUCUCAGGGUGGCACUGUGUGGAAGCCAGGGCUCACCCGGCUCUGUUCCCACAGGGUGGGAGUUUUUCAUUUUAACAGUUACAGAAUCAUCUACACGGAUGUCACCCUGAGAGUUGUAAUCCCCAGGAGAAGUUGUCAUCCAUGUCACUAGCACAGCUUGCUGUGUAUUCUGUUUUGAUUUGGGCUUUGAUUUUUAAUUAAUUCUAGUGAAAAUCUUUUAAUGAAAAUCUUUGCUUCAAAUUUGAAAAAGGUAGACAGCAACCUGCAACACACAGGCAGAUGAUCAAUAAAUAGUCCUCUCACUGAAGAGUGGUGUGAAUUCGCUAGUUAAGACAUACCUAUUAGAUAUGUUUAAAAAAUGUGUUUCAAUGGAAAACUGUAACACAUACUUCUGGGUUGUUCAUUGUCUUUGAACUAUUUUACAAUUCUUUGCAAAUUGCAGGUAACUGAUGGAGAUAUAUAGACAUAGAUCGAUCUAUCUAUCUAUCUAUCUAUCUAUCUAUCUAUCUAUCUUCUGCCCUGUCUAGUAGUGAUUUUUACUGGCUUCUUUCUCCUGUAAAAAAUUUGAAAAUAAAUAAAUAAAAAAGUUUUCUUUCCAUUUGCAACUCAUUUCAAAAUUCCUUUACUCCAUAUAAAUUUGUAUUGUUUUCACUUUUCCUUUAAACUAUUUCUAACAUCUGCCUAGUUCCCUUCUAUCAUAUGUGUAAAAUAAAAUCUUUAAGAGUUGUGUAUUUUAAUAUCUUGGUGCAAGUCAUUGUUUUACCUUUUUCUGAAAAUUAUCUUUCAGAUAAUAUAUAAAGAACAUGCUGUACUGUUUAGAUUUUUUUUUAAUUUUGCAAGCGACCGGAAUUGUGUUAUUACCCAAAUCAAUGUUCCUGAGCAUUUGGUGAGCAGAAUUUUUAAGGAAAACUUGGUGGGUGCGGGGGAAGCCAGUGAGCUGGGAGCGCUGAUUGGUCAGGGGUGAAAUCACAGGGAGUCAAAGCUGUCUUCUUUCACCGAGUCAGAUCCUGGGUGGGGGCCGCAAGUCAGAUGAGCCAGUUUAUCCAUCUGGGUGGUGUCAGCUGAUCUAUCAAGUGCAGGGUCGGCAAAAUAGCUCAAGCACUAAUCUUAGGAGCAGUUUAGGGAGGGUCAGAAUCUUGUACCCUCCAGCUACAUGACUCCUCCACCAUGAUUUCUUAUCUCGUGGUUAUUGUUAGCCCUACAAAGGCAAUUUAGUCUUCAGGCAAGAAGGAGGUCUGCUUUGGGAAAGGGCUGUUACCGUCUUUGAUUUAAACUAUAAACUAAGUUCCUCCCAAAGUUAAUUCAGCCUCGGUCCAAGAAUGGACAAGGACAGCUUGCAGGUUAGAAGCAAGAUGGAGUCGAUCAAGUUAGAUUUCUUUCACUGUCUCAGUCAUAAUUUUGCAAAGGUAGUUUCAAUCCCUCCCUUUGUGUUUUAUAACACCUUAAUCUUGAGGUUAGCCUAUGAAGAUGGGAAAAGACUGCGGAUCGCUCUGGCGUCUUCCUGCUGACAGAGGGCGUAGUGGGAAUGGGAGUGAACCCCAAGGUGAGAGGAGUGAACCCCAAGGUGAGAGGAGUGAACCAAUUUACUGCUGUCUGGGCGACGCAUGCAGGUCUGACUGGGCUUCCAAACCUUGCAUGGCAAAAGCAUUAGUACCCUCAUCUAUACUUUCAGUACAGUAUUUAACUGAACAGUGUACCAUAAGGUAAAUAACGAGUCCUAGGAUGAGCAGUACAAUUCCCAGUUUUAAAAGCAAUGAUUAGAAAGCAUGAGUUUGGGGACUUCUAACCCACAAAGAAUUUAGGAAUUAAUCCAAACUGCAGAAAAAAACCUCAAUAACAGCUAACAACAGGUGUACUAUAGCUUUCUUUUGAAAUAUAAUUUUUCUCUCUUCAGUCCCCAUUUUUAUUAAAAACAAAUCAUGAUAGAACGGAUUUGUUUACAAAAUCAACUUUAGUCUUCCCGUACUUGGCCUGAUCAUUUGCAGCAAGAAUAAUUAUUUUUCACUUAGGCUCUUUUUAAUGGGCUUUGAUGGAAUUCUGUUCCAUGAGGAAUCCCACAUAUGACUUUUUAAAAGCCGAGCCCAGCCAUCGGUUUGUACCCUCAAAUAACUAUGAGUUGGGUAAAUUCCUCUCCUCUUGAGGCCCAAAGGUAACUUGGGGUUAUCUAAGUGACAUUCAUUACUUACCACAGGUCAGGAACCUUGUACAGGAACUGCAUAGAUGAGGUAUGAGGUCAGAUUCCCCAAGAGACUUAUACCUGAUUAUAAACUGCCAAAGCAAGACGAAAUGUCUGUGUAUGAUAGAAGUCUUAAGAUAGCCACUACUAAAGCUACAAUUGACUAGAAUUUUGUUUACUUCUGUGGCAUACAACAAUUUUGUAUAAAAAUUAUAAUUAUUAAUAACACUAAAUUAUAUCAGAAUUAUAGAAGUUUCCCAUAAUUUUGAAACACAUACUAAUAACAUAUCUAUACAGAUACAGUCCAAAGACAACCAAACACUAUUCACUCUUCUAUUUGAAAGUUUUUUUCUCUAUUCUAACGUCACAAUCUCCAGGUUAUUAAUCAGAAAUCUGCACUGAAGAGCCCCUGUUAAAUUUUAUAGCUGAUUAUAAAACCAUCCUUUAAAGAGGACUGGCCAGGCACAGUGGCUCACACCUGUAAUCCCAGCACUUUGGGGGACCGAGGUGAGUGGAUCACCUGAGGUGAGGAGUUCGAGACCAGCCUAGCCACCAUGGUGAAACCCCGUCUCUACUAAUAAUACAAAAAUUAGCCGAGCAUGGUGGCACACACCUGUAAUCCCAUCUGCUCAGGAGGCUGAGGCAGGAGAAUUGCUUGAACCCGGGAGGCAGAGGUUGCAGUCAGCCAAGAUCGUGUCAUUGCACUCCAGCCUGGGCGACAAGAGUACAAGAGUGAAACUCCAUCUCCAAAAAAAAAAAAAAAGAAAAAAAGAGGACCAAAAUGAGACAACAAUUGCCUGUGGAUGACAAAACAUUUUAGGGCAGCCACAGUUAAAGACACAAUUGGCAAGGAAAUUUGUUACCUCUGUGGCACACAGUCAUUUAACAUAAUAAUUAUAAUUAUUACUGAUAACUUAUACUAAGUCAUAUUAGAAUUAUAGGUGUUUUACAUAAUUUUGAAAUAUGUGUCAAUAACAUAUUUGCACAAAUAUAGCCCAAAGAAAGCCAAACACCAUGUCAUAUUUGACAAUGCUUUCUGUAUGAUUUUUAUACCAAAUAAGCCAAAUGUCAUUUUUGGACUUUAAAGAACCUAAUAUCUAAAAGGUUAAAAAGAGACAUAAUUUAUAAUUUGGUUUUGGAACGUUUGUCAAAUAUCAAAGGUUUAAAACACUGAAUAUCACAAAAUAGCAUCCCAGGUCACCAUAAGUCAUCCAUUUGGCCAAAAUGAUAGCUCCAAAAAUUUUAAAAAGGAAAAAUCUUUACUCUGAUAGAGGAGACUUAGCUUUCCAACAAGACCCAGUGAAGAUAGCAUGAGGCCAACUGAGUCUGUCUUUUCUCUCUCCUCCCCUUUUUCCCUGCCACUUACCUAAAAGAGGAAAGAAAACCCUUUCAUUAUCCUUUAAUAUUACAUAAAAAUCAUCUUCAAAAGAGAAAACCAAAUUUCAUGUUUGCAUUAGUGCAUCUUUAAUGCUAAAGCUAGUUUUUAAAUAAAAUUUUAUAUAUCUGUCCAGUUUUAAUUAGUUUGACCAUAAGGUAAGAUUUUCAUGAACUUUUUAGAACCCUUUCCAAUUUUCCAUCAAACAGCAGAUCAAUUUUCUAAGCAAACCCUAUUAUUCGGACACGUGGGCCCAGACGCUGGCCCUGUAUCAGUAUGGUUUUAGUGUUUUAACUUAUGGAGAAAAGCUAAAUAAUUUCUUUCAAAUCUUAGCCAACUUGUUUAUACCCACAGAAUUUUUUUUUUUUUUUUUUUUACAAAUCAACCCUUUACAAACCCUUUUCACUUUGAGUAAGCCUUCGGUUUUAUCCCAUUACUCUUUUAGGUUAACACAAUCUUUAAAACCCUCUGAACUAGACAAAAUUACAUUCCCUUUAACAGAAGCCAUAUUCCCAUACCUUCUUAUAAUCUUUUAUCAAAAACACAUUCCCUACACACCAUGUAUGUAAAGCUGUUUCUCCAGUGGUCUCAAUGUUACAUUGUUAAUUCUUAGCAGCUUUUGUUUUUAGUGAAAACCCUGAUGAGUAAGUGAUUUUAAUUAUGUACUGGGUGGAGCCCAGGACAUCAGGCAGAAGUGAAGAUGAGGUCUGACUCUUUUCAGCAUGGCCAGGGGCAUGGCUCUCCACAGCUCCCCAGGCCUCCUCUGUCAUCUAAUCCUCCAAAGCAGGUAAACUGAACAAUUUUUCCAAAGGAAACAGUUUGACCUUAAAGCAUUUAGCAAAUCUGAUAUCUGACCUUAAUUUAGACCAAAUACCUACAUUUUCAAGACAUGUUAUUUUACCAGUAAUCUUUAAAACUGUCUUUAUUUGCAAAAGAUUACUAAAGCCAUUUGAAGAAAAAGGCAUUAAAGAUUUUUUCUGUCAAAAUAUUUCAUUUACAUGCUUAUUUUUCUAAGCCAAUUAUCAGAGCUCUUUUACAUACAAACAUCACACACCCAACACAUAUAAAUACGCAGACAGAAAUACAGAAGAUUUAGCACUUGUAACAUUUUUCAUUUGCCAGUUUUCUUAAUUGGAUUACUGACUUCAGGGUGGAGCCCUUGAAGGAACAGAGUCAGGAAAGCAUGCAAUUCUUGGGCCAAAUAAGCAGGAACAGGUGAAGGCAAAGACAGAUCCCCAAAGUUAAGGGUGCCAUUUUAUACUGGAUCUUGAAUCCUCAAAAGGAGGAAAAUCCUACAGGAGAAGAGACAGUGCAAUGCUUCUACGUGCAUUUCAUGGCAAGGCCACCCAAAGCCAAUCAGCCCAUCCCCCACGGGAGCUUCAUCUCUCAGCUGAGGGUGGGGACCUUUCCAUGUCUUCCAGGUGUCCACGAGCAUUUGCUUCUCUGAUCCAAGUGUGCAGUCAAGUAUCCCUCCAUAACUACUGCUAGCCAUCCCCUAAAGUAUUUCCUACCUUGUUAUUACACACCCAAGCUCUCUCGUAAUGUGAAGUAAUUUCUUAAAACCCCAAGAACUCAAAACUGUCAGAUAACACAAUGCAAAACAGAGCAGAGCUUUUGAUUUUGAGAGGGAUCUAUCCGCUUUUAGUUCCUAGGGUUUCAUGAGGAAAACAGAGCUUUUUUCCAAAACAGGGUCUAUGGUGCCUCCUGUUUUUUUCAAGGAGUACCAGGCUACCAGAAGAGGACCUCUCAUGUAUGCAUUAAGAUUAGCAAGACAAAAAAAUUGAGAAAAAUAAUUAAGUCGACUGAGAAGAAAAAAACCUUUUUUCCAGAAAAACAAGAUCCAAGAAGGGAACAACAUAAAUGCCUUUUAAAUAUAUCUAUAGCUUGUUUAUCCACUUUUAAUCAAGCUGACUUUUAACCAGAGCGCUCUUAAAAAAAAGUCCUUUUAAAUUUCUUAUUACCCGACUUUAGCCAGGCGGCCAAUAUUUCUGGCUUUUGAACUUUACCAAAGGUGACCUCCCAGAUGCUUCAAAGACAUGGUAAGCAGUUUCUUUUUUACAAGAUUUAGAAUCUUCCCAAGGUAGUUCAGAGAAAGGAAAAUUCAAGAGAAGAAAUCAGAAACUCCCUGGGGGGGGGAAAAACAACUCAAUAAAUGGCAAAAUUACACAACUAACAAAUCAGAAAGGAAUAAUUCCAGAAAGCAAGAAUUGAACCCAGGCCACCAUCAUCAAAAGGCAAAGCCUUAGCUACUGUAUUAUGGCAUUGAGCAGUUUUUAUUGCUUUUCCCAGAAGGGUCCUAGAGAAGCCAAUUUCAAGCUUGCCAAGGCUUUUAACUGGUCAAGAAAAUUUUUAGGGCUAUGACAUGAACUCUAAAAUUCCUGUCCUCUAAGACCGAAUCUAAGAGAAUCUAAGGCCGAAUCUAAGAGAAAGUGUCUGCACAUGGUCACAAGGUUAAGCUCUUAAGGACACAAAACAAGACAGAGAUAUUUCAUCUGGUAUUGGUUUCAGGAACCCACAGCAAAAUUUGUAACUGACCAGUCUGCUGGGCUGGCUUGUAAUGCAGGUUAUGGGGUCCUAAACCCACGUUCUAGCCUGUGCUAUCCCUCUGUCCAUUACAGAACACAGAAAGACAAAUUCUCAGCACAAAGUACACCAGAUUUGCUAUAACCUAAGAGUAGUCUCACAAAUCCCUUGUCUAUUAAUCAAACCCUUGCAGAGAGACAAAUAGUGACGAUUACCGUUUACACAGACAGAGGAAGAGAGAGAGACCAGAAACUUGGCUGGUAAGAAUUUCUUACCCUUUUUGCCGGCAUACCAGGUUUCCGGGCUCCCUUUCUCUGCAGCUUCCAGAAGAAUGGAGCAGCUCUGAUGACCCUGCUCGCUAGUGCCAUGGCUGUGGGGUUCAAACCACUUUACAAGAGAAAAUCACCCCUUUCUGUGUUAUGGAACCACAGACAAGAUUCUUAAUUUGCAAGAUGCUGCCCAACAGGCUGCCUGGGGAACCCAAUUAACAUUUUCCAUCCCAGCGAAAUACACAUAACAAAACAGACAUGAAUCACCUCAUUCAGCACCCACUAUCAGCCUGGCAAAGCCCAAACUUUCUCCCGUUGGUCUCUGUUGUCUUUGAUCCACCCCAGCUGGGGCGGGAUGACCUCCAAAGGGUAAUUCACAAUGGGGUCUCUGGGCAAGGCGAAGAGCACAUAGUCACCCCGAGACAGGCCUGCUGAGCAUUUUUCAGGGCUCACCGAAUGUGACCAGACAAAUAAGGAGGGUUCUCUGAGUUAGGCCUGCUGAACGUCCAUCAGCAAUUCCCUCUGAGAUCCCCUCCACAUAUACAAACACACAUAAAGACAAGAUGAACACAGCGUUUUCCAAAUCAGAUCCCUAACCAAGAACUCCAAGAGUGUCCCUUCCAAACUGUCCUUCUAUUCUCCAUCUGAGAAAUCUCCUCGAAAUCUUCCUGAUUGAGGAGAAGUCUCCCAAACCAAGACUCUUUCUACUAGUUAGAAAGAGCCAACUGAGGCUGGGCGCAGUGGCUCGCGCCUGUAAUCCCAGCACUUUAAGAGGCCAAGGCAGGAGGAUCACUUGAGGACAGAAGUUCGAGACCAGCCUGGCCAGUGUGGUAAAAUCCCAUCUCUACAAAAAAUGCAAAAAUUAGCCGGGCAUGCUGGUGCACACCUGUAGUGCCAGCUACUCAGGAGGCUGAGGCAGCAGAAUCACUUGAUCCCAACUCAGGAGGCAGAGGUUGCAGUGAGCCAAGAUUGUGCCACUGCACUCCAGCCUGGGUGACAGAGGGAGACUCUGUCUCAAAAAAUAAAUAUAAAAGAAAGAGCCAACUGAGACCCCCAGGAGACAAACUGAGACAGACACCCCGAAUUGGGUUACAGACACAGACACCCCAUGGUGGAGCUACAAGCCAACAUCCCUCAGUGGGGCUACAGACACCCCACCGGAGGGUACAGAACCAGUCAGCAGAAGGAAGGAGGCAUUGGCAAUGCCUAGGAUACUCACCAACCCAGAUAUCCUGCAAUGGGGUUACAAACAUAUACCCCACCAUGGGGCUACAGACAGACAUCCUGUGAUAGGGUUACAGUUAAGAGAUGCCUCCCCAGGACUAUAAUUCUAUUGCAAUUAAAUCCAUGCAUAUUGCGUCGGCAGCGCCCCACCAGCAGAGAGAAUACCACAAUUAGCCCCUAGUCCGAGAGAACUACGUGGCCGCUUGGUCUGGCCUCUGGAUCCAUCGCUGGAGAGGGGGCUACUGAACCAUGGGCAGGCAGCCACAAGGGCAAUCCCGGAUGAGCCCACACAUUUGUAACUGCCCAAGGGGUUCACCUUGCCCACUGCCUAGACAGAGCUGAUUUAUCAAGACAGGGGAAUUGCAAUAGAGAAAAAGUAAUUUACGCAGAGCCAGCUGUGCGGGAGAAGAGAGUUUUAUUAUUACUUAAAUCAGUCUCUCUGUUUAGAUUUUUAACCCAUUGCUUAUAUUUUGUUCUAUGUGAGUGAGAAUGGGCUACUAGGAAUAAGAAAAUAUAUUCUUUCUUUGAUUCAGUUGAGUAUGACCGUAAACGAAGGGUGCAAUACUCAUGGAAUUUUCCACCGAAAAUUAUGUGUAUAUUUGAAAUCAAGCAGAGCAGUGCAACAGAAAAAUCAACAAAGAUGCCAGAUCCUUAUCCUUGGAGGAUAAAAAAAGUAGGCAUGUGUGAAAGAGAUUAGGACUGCCUGACAUAUGAUGGUUAGUUGAAUUUAGUCUGAAUUUCAGUGGAGUCCAGCUGGGAAAACAAGACUGCAUGAAAUACCUAGAAAACAAUACCAGGCAAUCCACAAUUCACUGUGAGAUUGUGUAAUAAGCGAUGUUCUUAAGGAAGUCCAUGAGCGCAGGAAGGUAUUUGCUUUGAGAGGAUUCCAGUGCCCUUACUUCCUCUUCAGUUCCCGUCACUGGCCUUUUAUUGAUGUGUAUUAGUUUGAGACUUCAAAACCCAAUCUCAUGUUUCAAGGUACAGAUGUAACUGUACAUUAGAUACUCAAAAGCCGAGGAUGAGGUCUCGGGAUCAGCAAAGCUGGCCACCUGCCUUGAGAGCGGCUCCUACCCCCUGCAGGCGCCCC